CUUUAUAGAGCCCUUAGGGAUGUGGGCAUCUUGAAUUUUCAGUCUGCCUUCUGGGGGAGGGGCCUGCCAUACUGCUACUUAGGCAACCCUGUUUGGGUAAAGUUGCCUGGUCCCCUGAGAGGGGGGAUGGAGGUGGGCACAAUGGGAACCGGUAUUUCCGGGCUUUUGUUCUCUGGUAGCUUUCCCUGGUGGUUUUCUGUGCCUCUUCUGACAGUCAGAGCAGCAAUGGCCAUAUCCUAGCCUCCCUCUCAGAACAGAGAGAUCGCAGUCAGCUCUCCACCGAGCUCUCCUGGCCACUUUAACUCUGUUUGUGUUGGUGCUGCUAAAAACCCUGUAGUGUCCCAGGUUGUGUGCCCCACAGCCAUUCUCCCAGCCCUCGCUUCCAGGGCCAGCUCCUCUCUAUCCUUUGUGCUUCUAACACCGUCAGCCGCCCCCAGUUCCCGCUUGCGCUCCCGAGCUCCUUGUUUUGGUGUGGUUCACGCAUGCAGUGGAGCACCAGUUUUCAGUCUGGUUGUGCCUGCGCCACCAAGCUCCCAGUGUCAGUCAGGUUUCAGUGAGGGCUCCGGAGCACCGGUUUUCAGUCUGGUCGCGCUCCCGAGCUCCCAGUUUCAGUCUAGUUUGAGUGUGUGCCCCGGAGCUCUGGUUUUCAAUCUGGCUGCGGCAGUGUGUUCCUGGGCUUACAGUCUCAGUCUGCUGUCUAGCAAGUCCGGCCCGCUCCCCAGUGCAGGUGGCUACUGCUUCCAGCACCUGAGCGCAUCAGCUCCCUCCCCCUUCCAUUUACCUUCUGAUAUCUGUGCAUGGAUUCACAGCUCCCCACUUUGUACCUCAGUACUCUGCACUGGAGAUGUUCGUGUGGUAGAGAUCCUGAUGUAUCUUCCUACCUCUCGGGCUGAUUUCAUGUGUGUUCAGGAUGAUCUGGUAGAUAUCAGCUCGAUUCAGGGGACCAGCUGAAAAAAGUUUCCCUACUCCUCCACCAUCUUUUUCCCUCCCCUGACAAAUGGUUUUUGAAAGACAGAAUGU
RNAcentral lists this long non-coding RNA (1020 nucleotides) under Ursus maritimus (polar bear). RNAcentral describes it as "lncRNA (ENSUMAG00000020429.1)". Lineage: Eukaryota; Metazoa; Chordata; Mammalia; Carnivora; Ursidae. The record is from RNAcentral.